GAUGAACGCUGGCGGCGUGCCUAAUACAUGCAAGUCGAGCGAACGGACGAGAAGCUUGCUCCUCUGACGUUAGCGGCGGACGGGUGAGUAACACGUGGAUAACCUACCUAUAAGACUGGGAUAACUUCGGGAAACCGGAGCUAAUACCGGAUGAUAUAUUGAACCGCAUGGUUCAAUAGUGAAAGACGGUUUUGCUGUCACUUAUAGAUGGAUCCGCGCUGCAUUAGCUAGUUGGUAAGGUAACGGCUUACCAAGGCAACGAUGCGUAGCCGACCUGAGAGGGUGAUCGGCCACACUGGAGCUGAGACACGGUCCAGACUCCUACGGGAGGCAGCAGUAGGGAAUAUUGCGCAAUGGGCGAAAGCCUGACGGAGCAACGCCGCGUGAGUGAUGAAGGUCUUCGGAUCGUAAAACUCUGUUAUUAGGGAAGAACAAAUGUGUAAGUAACUAUGCACGUCUUGACGGUACCUAAUCAGAAAGCCACGGCUAACUACGUG
This 497-nucleotide ribosomal RNA is filed under the name uncultured bacterium. RNAcentral describes it as "partial 16S ribosomal RNA". It matches the Rfam family "Bacterial small subunit ribosomal RNA", at positions 28 to 507 of the family's 1533-position model. The record is from RNAcentral.